CCUUGUAUCUGAAUCUUUAUGCAUAUACAUCCAACUUCGCAACUCAUAGAUAUUGCCAUCAGAUGCAAUUUUUUGGUUUUCUCUCUUCAAGUGUUUUCUAGUUUUAUUUUUUGUGUGUGUGUUCAUUAUGAAGAUAGAGUGGCAUAUUUAUAGAAUUUUCUCGAGUUGUUAAGGUGAAAUUUUAACAACAAAUUAAUAACAAAUGGGUUUUCCAAAUCUUUUACAAGGGUAUAACAACUAAUUUUCGACGAUUUUUUUUUUGUACACCACCAAGCACACACAUAGUAAACAUGUUUUCACAUACCAUCUAACUUAUAUUCGUUGAUUUUUCAUUAAUAUGUUGUAAAGUAGUUGGCCGUAAAUUACUCUUUAUAAAGCAACAAAAUUACGACGAAUGACAUAAGUCCUUGUUAAAGUGCCGUAACGUUACUUAAAUGUUAUGAUGAAUUAUUUAUGUAGGCAACUUACGACUCAAUUACGAUGAAUUGUUUUUCAUAAAAUUUUAGUAAAUUUAACAUAACGUAAUGAUGAUAAUUUUUCAUCGUUAAUUGCAUAUUUUCUUAUAAUAUAGUUUAUUAGUCCAGGUGGCUUUGGCAUCCAUUCUUUAAGGGUUGGUUUGGCAUAAAAGCUUUGGCUCUUAUUGGCAUGUAGAAAAUUUACAUUUACAAAUUAUUGUUAUUGUUAAUGCUUCUUAAUUACUAUGUCUGCUUUAAUUUAUUUGAUUGUUAGAAAAAACUUUGCAUAGUAUAUUAUCAUUCCACUAUUAUAGAUAAAAAUGUAUACCACUACUUCAUUGAUUUACUCCUUUUGAAUUAACAGAAACUUCAGAAAAACAUUUCUCCCAAAAUAUUGAAAUAAAUAAUGUAUUAUAAGGUUAUAAUGGGAUUUUUAUUUGCUUAUUUAAUUAGUGUGUAAAAUCCUAAACACCAGAUAAAUUGAAAAUGGAAAAAUGAUGAUUUUUUUUAGUACAAGACAUUAGUUUAAAAGUGAUUGGAAUUGUGUGGAUGGGAUGGUUUAAACCUUAUGUAUCAUCUAUAUCACAUUUUUUUCAUUUUACAAACAACUAAAAUAUGUAUAUAUGGUAGGUCUGGACAUUCGGACCAGUCGGAUUCAGAUCAGGUAUGGUCUAUUUGGAUCAGGGUUUCUAGCUCUGGGCUACUUGGGUCAGUUCCUUUGGAUAGAGGAAUUUUGGACCUGACCAGGUACUUGUAAAUAUUUUGUUCGGUUUUGAGUAAAAUAUUUCCGGUCGGUUCCAGUUGGAAUUUUUGGGUCCAGAUAAAAUGCAUAGGGCUAUUGAAUUGGAUAUUAAAAUAUAGAAAAUAAAAGUAUAAUUUAUAUAUUAAAAAAAUAUUAAUGCUUCUGAAAACAAUGAAACAAAAGAAAAAAACAAGAGAAAAAUGUCGACUGGACAAUAAUUAAAAUAAAUAAGAAAAUGGAUGAGAAAUUCCUAAGAAAGAGAGAAAUGAGAAAAUGAAAUAAAAGUUAGUAUUUUGAAAUGUAUUUUUUAACUUUAAAAAAAAGUGCUUCAAUAAUUUUCAAGUGCCUCAAAAUGUAAAACAUAGGUUAUAAAGUGUCUAAGAAUAUAAACCCAUCUACUCCUUUAGUUAAGUAGCAAUGGAGUGGUUUAGACUAGAAAUGUUGAAAUUAAAUAGGUAUAGUAUAUUUGAACUUGAUGGAUUUUGAUAUAAAUUGUAUACAAAAUAAAAUAAAGAAAAGGCAUAAGAAGUCUAUUCUUAUCUCUCAGUCCCUCGCUGGUAAGGAGAGGCUCACAUAUCAUUCACUUUGUAUUAUAUCACAAUAGAGUGGUCCUCUAAAGUUUGUAUAUGCAACUUGCUCAGCUAAAUAUCUCUCUCUCUCUCUCCCCCCCCCCCCCCCCCCCCCCCACAAUUCUCUUAAGUUGAGUUCGUGAGUAGAAAUUGGAGAAGGAAAACAUGAAGAUCCUGGUUAUAUUUUUCCACAGCUUUCUUGAACUUUCUUUUUCAUUUCCCUUAUUUUAGAGCCAAAAUAACUAAAAAUCUCUAACAUUUAACACUCUAGAAAAAAAAAAGCUCAAGAAAGCUGUGGGAAAACAUGACAAUUCAGGGUUUUCUUCAUUGAUUCAAGUGUCAGGUUCUUUUAAAGGCACUAAUUUUUCAUAAUUUGAAGGUUUCCCCUUAAACCAUUAUGAUAUUAUACUCUUUGAAAUGUCUGUAUAUGAAUAUGAGGAACGAAUCUUCUCUGAAUUUUGUUUUUGGAGUUGAUCUGAAUUGCUUUCAACAAAGAAGAAGAAGAAAGCUUCCGUGGUUUCCUGUUCUGUAUAGAUGAGCUUUGUACAUUUCUGUUGAUAAAAGUUUUACCUGACGUCAUUCUAACUACUCCACCUCAUAAGUAAUGUAUGAUGGUUACUGCUUUUGGGGUCAAUUUGAUAUGUAUGCACAUGUCCUCCCAUGUGAUUUGUCUUUUCAUUUACAUAUAAACGUAUCGUUGUAUAUACUAGUAUAAGCGCGGGUGUUUUUAUUAUUCGCAUAUGAUACUUGCACAACAUCCAAACUGUGUAUACCUGAUCAUAUGAUACUUGGACAUCAUCAAAAUUGUGUGUAAAUACCUCCUGUAUACGUGUAAUCAGAUGUAGAAUUGUACAUAAAUACAUAUAUGUGCAUGCAUUACAUAGAUGCACUAAGAAAUGGGCCUUUCACGAAGAGAAGGAAUUGUCAAUGUAAUUUAAACUUGAACUCCCUUUUCCUUUAAUCAAACUAAAAUGGGAAAACUUCAUAAAUAUAUUAUAUACCCCCAAUAAAGUUUUUGAUAUCUAAACAUUUUUACUAUCAAGUUUAAUACUAAAACUCAAGUUAAAACUUACAUUCCAAAGCUUAAGAAUAUCCAAAAUUUAAUUACUUUUAUGUCUAAAACUUAUAAUUAAAUUAGAAAUUUAUAAUUUUUCGUGAACUUUGGAUAAAAUAUACGAGGGAAAAAUAAAAAGAUGUUGAAAAAUAAGUUUGGUAAACAGUUAAAAAUAUAUAAGGGCAAAAACUGAUAAGCUGAACAUGAGGCAUGAGUAGUAUAUUUUUUUAACAGUUACAUCGUACUUGAUUCCGAGAUUGUUUCUUACACAUGUGUAAAAAGGAAUACUGAUAAUAACUGAAGAAUGAGAUCUUAAUUAUGUAUAGUGAUUAUGAAUUAUUCAAAAUGGUAUAGGGUUUUUGUCCUUUUACUUAUUUAUGAUAAAACCAGAUCUGAGGGUGAUCGCGUUGUUGUGGGUCUUGUUUGUUUUUCACUGAUUCCAAAACAUUUUGACGUGGAAAUUGUUUGAUUGGCUAAUAGAAAGGAUAUGUGAGGGAGAGAGAAGAUGGCCAACGCCUUGAAAGUGAAGCUUUUGUCAGUUUAUGAUCAGUAAGGGAACCUAUAGAUUCCGAUUUCCUUCUUGGAUCGACGUAACAUUCACUUUAUUCAAUAUUCAUUUAGAACGUUGAUGCUCGAAUGUUACUUACGGAAAGGUUAGCAUUGGGAAUUCAUAUGUAUCACAAGAAGAAAUAGCCUUCCUAAACAAUUGGUGAUAUGGCACGCUAGGCAUUAGGGUAAUUCGAAGGACUUCAGGAUCGCAAAUUGCUAGGACUUUAAAAACCCAAAACAAAACAAAACGUGACAACAAUGGAUGUAUGCUUUAUUUUGUUAAAUAACACAAAUCAUCGAAAUUGAUCUUCACAAAAAUGUGAUUGUGCAAUACACUAGGCAUUAGAGCAAUUCUUUAAAAUUCAAGAUCGUAAUCAGAGAAUCGAAACAGAUAAAUCAUUAAAAACUAUUUUCACAUUAGAUCUGUUCUUUUGCGGGACGCAGCGUCGGCGGCGAAAACCAAAAUCUAAUGAACAAAACAGAGAAAUGUAAAUGCAGCUUCCUUAUAUAUUUAGUGCCGGCGACUGUCGCAAGUAAUCUUUUCGGUGUUUUCUUUGCUGCUGUCUCCCGUGCAAUCUUGACGUGUGGCUUGCGUCAAUCUUUGAACUCUGUAUUUUAAUUUAUUGCUGACAUGUCUUUUUAAAUUUUUCUAUAUUUUAGUGACGCACUGCGUCCGGCAAAAGAACAUGGCUAUUAGCUCUGUUCUUUUACAAGACGCUGCGUCAGCGGCUUGCGGCCAAUUAUACAACUGAUUUCUUGUUCACGCAUCUAGAGGAGUAACACCGGCAGCAGUGUUUUUGCCUAUCAAAAUAGAUGCAGCUUUCAUUUAGUUGCCGUUACUUUUAACAUCGUCUGUGACAGCACCGGAAACCUUCGCAAAAGUAAUUGCAGCGUCAGCUUGAAUAAUUUUUCACCAUCUUUUUGUUUAUUUGAUGUUUAGUUUUUGGCCGCAAGCCGCUGCAUCCGCGUCUUCGAAAAGAACAGAGCUAUUGUAAUACUGAAUGAAACAUGUAAGAUUCGUACAUAGGAGGGGCUAUGAGUCCAUAGUUUGGUGACUAGGAUUUCAAGGUUUUCCGUUUCUCUAAGGCAGCUUGCUGGCGCCGCCUAAGGGUUUCCGAUGGAGGUUCCAGGUAACUCAGAAUUAUUAGAGCAUGUCUAUGGCAGUCUCUUAAGACCAUCUCCAAUAGUUUCCCUCAUUUUUUUCUCAAAAUGAUGUAAACUCAUAAUGAAGUUGUGAUUUGCUCCAAUGGUUCCCCUCAUUUUCUCCCUCAAUUCUUAUUAUAUUCAUUUUUCAACUUUUUAUUUAUUGCAAAUAACACCUUUUAUUUUAUAAGAUUUUAGACUAUACUCAUUUAUUUUUAAAUUCUACAAUUUAACCAAACUUUAGCUUAUAAAAAACAAAUAUUUAUUACAUUAAUAAAGUUACAUAACAACAUACAAAGUAAUUGUAGAAUUUUACUUAAACAAUACUAUUAUUAUAUUUUUUCCACUUUGUAUUAGUUAUAUAUCUCGAUGGUAUUGUUUUCUAUUUUAUUUUCUUUUAAUUAUAUAUUAUAAUUUAUAAAAUUAUAAGUUAUAUUUUAAUAACUAAUUAUUAGUAAUUAUAUUUUAAAAAGUUUAAUUAGUAUAUACAUAUUGGAUAUAAAGUUAUAAAAAUUAUGUUUAAUAUUAAUGUUUUGUUUAUGCAUAAAAUAAAGAUUGUCAAAAGUAAAGAACUAUUAUGUAAAUAAAAAAAGCUUGACAUCAAAAUGAGGCUGUGAAUAGUGUUCCCUCAAAUUUGAGGGAAUACUGUUCAUAUCCCCAUUUUUUUCCCUCAACAUGAAGUACCAUUGGAGAUGGAUUUCCUUCAUUUUUGAUAUUUUUCUUCAUUUUGAUGCACUAUUGGAGAUGCUCUAAAUCUUGUUUAGGGUAUUUUGUAAUUAAAAAAAAAAAAAAACUAAUUACUUAAGGCACAACUCCUAAUUAAGGGUUUAAAAAACUGACUCUUGCUUAACACGUGUAGGAAGGGGAUUGGAAUUGUGAUUUUGGGAGAAGAGGAAAAGACGCAGUCGACGAAGUCUUCGACGUCUCCGAACUCUAUGUUCUCUCAUGGAUUCAAUUCCUGCUUUCUUCUUCUUCUUCUUCUUCUUCUUCUUCUUCUGUGUUUAUGAGACCUCAACGCUUGAGUCCCUCUCUCUUGCUCUCUCUUCUUUAACCUUUACACAACUCUGAUUAUCAAUUUCUCCUGCGCGCUCGUGAUUUCUUCUUCACUAUUUUGCAAUUUGCUAUUAAAAUCUGAAUUUAUUGGGUAAGCGAAAGCCGGAAGAUGGUUUGGGAACCGAACCGUUUCUGAAGAUAGAUAAAGAAAAAUUUGAGGAGAUGGAGAUCGAAGCAAGGGUUGAGUUGUUGUCUGAUGAGGCUAAUUUUCUGUGACAGUGGAGACCGAACCUAUUCUGAAGGGAAUUAGGGAGGAGAAGGAGACAGCGAAAGGAUUUUCUGAUGAGAUCAAAGGAAGGGUAGAAUUGUUGGAGAAUGAGGCUAAUUUAAUCUCAGUGGAAGGACUUGAUGAAGGUCCUGAGGAAGCUGCCGUAAGUAUAUUUUAAUGUUUGUUGUAUAUUUUAAUUCAAUUAAGAAUCUUCUUGUCAUCUCAAAAUCUUGUUCCAAUUGCUAACAGGAGACCUCUUCUUGUAUGCAAUUGAAGAAGGCAUUUACCACUUUUUUUAAUUCAAAUAAAAGUAAAAUUUUCAAGUUGCUUUGGUUUAAGUUGUAUCUUUGUUGUUUUGUUUCUGCUUAAGUAAAUUGAGUUUAAGUUUAAGUUUCUGUUUGUUUAAGUUCUGUGUUUGUUGUUCUGGUUAUGUAAUGUUUCUCUUCAGAAGUGUAUUCUGUUUCUCUUUAUGUUUCUGUUUCAAAAGCAUUGGGAGGGAGAAGAUGAAGCUUCUGUUUCGGUUUCUGUUUCAGAAGCAGAUGAGUCUUGGACGCAAAGCAAACCAGGUCUUGUAUUCACGACAAAGAGGUCAGGUCUUGUAUUCAUAUAUCAGGAUCACUCUCUCUUCAAAGAACGUCAAGAAUGGCUCGGGAAAGGUGUGUGUUUCGAUGAUCUUAACCUUGUGUCUGUUGUAGUCUUGUGUGUGUGUUGUAGUCUAGUGUCAAUAAAAACAUGUUUAAUAAAUUUUCUUUUUAAGAACUCUUACCUUAAGAAACUACCAAUGAAGGACUAAUUUUAGGUGUUU
Long non-coding RNA from Brassica rapa (field mustard), 6578 nucleotides. RefSeq lists it as uncharacterized. The record is from RefSeq and is a predicted model, not a curated record. Lineage: Eukaryota; Viridiplantae; Streptophyta; Magnoliopsida; Brassicales; Brassicaceae.